UACGUAGGGUGCGAGCGUUAAUCGGAAUUACUGGGCGUAAAGCGUGCGUAGGCGGUUCGUUAUGUCUGCUGUGAAAUCCCCGGGCUCAACCUGGGAAUGGCAGUGGAAACUGGCGGGCUUGAGUGUGGCAGAGGGGGGUGGAAUUCCGCGUGUAGCAGUGAAAUGCGUAGAGAUGCGGAGGAACACCGAUGGCGAAGGCAGCCCCCUGGGCUAACACUGACGCUGAGGCACGAAAGCGUGGGGAGCAAACAGGAUUAGAUACCCUGGUAGUCCACGCCCUAAACGAUGAUCACUAGGUGUUGGAGAAGCGAUUUUCCUGUACCGAAGCUAACGCGUGAAGUGAUCCGCCUGGGGAGUACGGUCGCAAGAUUAAA
RNAcentral lists this ribosomal RNA (374 nucleotides) under uncultured bacterium. RNAcentral describes it as "bacterial SSU rRNA". It matches the Rfam family "Bacterial small subunit ribosomal RNA", at positions 524 to 898 of the family's 1533-position model. The record is from RNAcentral.